CUAUAGUAGAGGAUGACAGGAGGUAAAAAUGUCUGUAAAAGAAGGAUCAGGAAUAGACAGAACACUUAGACGUUUAGGGAAGAACUCUUAGCUCAGUGCUUAGUGAGAGAAGCCCCUGAGCCUGGGCUGUUUCUCCCGACCUCUUACUUAGGGGGAAAUGCCAGGCUUAGGGACUAACUAGUACAAAGACCCUGAGGAAGGAAUGAUUUUGACCUGUUUUUUUUUUUUUUAAAAACAACAACAAUAACAGGUUGUAGGGCUGAAGCUUACCAAAGAAAGGAAGAAUGCACUUUUCAGGAUUAGAAGAGGCUGUGUAUAGAAACAUACAAGCUUGCAAGGAGCUUGCCCAAACCACUCGUACAGCAUAUGGACCAAAUGGAAUGAACAAAAUGGUUAUCAACCACUUGGAGAAGUUGUUUGUGACAAACGAUGCAGCAACUAUUUUAAGAGAACUAGAAGUACAGCAUCCUGCUGCAAAAAUGAUUGUAAUGGCUUCUCAUAUGCAAGAGCAAGAAGUUGGAGAUGGCACAAACUUUGUUCUGGUAUUUGCUGGAGCUCUCCUGGAAUUAGCUGAAGAACUUCUGAGGAUUGGCCUGUCAGUUUCAGAGGUCAUAGAAGGUUAUGAAAUAGCCUGCAGAAAAGCUCAUGAGAUUCUUCCUAAUUUGGUAUGUUGUUCUGCAAAAAACCUUCGAGAUAUUGAUGAAGUGUCAUCUCUACUUCGUACCUCCAUAAUGAGUAAACAAUAUGGUAAUGAAGUAUUUCUGGCCAAGCUUAUUGCUCAGGCAUGCGUAUCUAUUUUUCCUGAUUCCGGCCAUUUCAAUGUUGAUAACAUCAGAGUUUGUAAAAUUCUGGGCUCUGGUAUCAGUUCCUCUUCAGUAUUG
RNAcentral lists this small RNA (881 nucleotides) under Pan troglodytes (chimpanzee). RNAcentral describes it as "processed transcript". Lineage: Eukaryota; Metazoa; Chordata; Mammalia; Primates; Hominidae. The record is from RNAcentral.